UUCGUCCAAUUGAAGCAGAGGACAGUGGCGGACGGGUGAGUAACGCGUGAGGAACCUGCCUUUCAGAGGGGGACAACAGUUGGAAACGACUGCUAAUACCGCAUAAUGUAUUCGGAAGGCAUCUUCUGGAUACCAAAGGAGAAAUCCGCUGAUGGAUGGGCUCACGUCUGAUUAGCUAGUUGGUGGGGUAACGGCCUACCAAGGCGACGAUCAGUAGCCGGACUGAGAGGUUGAACGGCCACAUUGGGACUGAGAUACGGCCCAGACUCC
This 270-nucleotide ribosomal RNA is filed under the name uncultured Oscillospiraceae bacterium. RNAcentral describes it as "partial 16S ribosomal RNA". It matches the Rfam family "Bacterial small subunit ribosomal RNA", at positions 74 to 339 of the family's 1533-position model. The record is from RNAcentral. Lineage: Bacteria; Bacillati; Bacillota; Clostridia; Eubacteriales; Oscillospiraceae.